RNAcentral lists this ribosomal RNA (406 nucleotides) under uncultured bacterium. RNAcentral describes it as "partial 16S ribosomal RNA". It matches the Rfam family "Bacterial small subunit ribosomal RNA", at positions 29 to 526 of the family's 1533-position model. The record is from RNAcentral.
AUUGAACGCUGGCGGCAGGCCUAACACAUGCAAGUCGAACGAGUGGCGGACGGGUGUGUAAUGUCUGGGAAACUGCCCGAUGGAGGGGGAUAACUACUGGAAACGGUAGCUAAUACCGCAUACCAUCGGAUGUGCCCAGAUCGGAUUAGCUAGUAGGUGGGGUAACGGCUCACCGAGGCGACGAUCCCUAGAUGGUCUGAGAGGGUGACCAAGAACACUGGAACUGAGGGACGGAAAAGACUCCAACGGGAGCAAGCAGGGGGGAAUAUUGCACAAGGGGCACAAGCCAAAUGCAGCCAUGCCGAGUGUAUGAAAAAGGCCUUCGGGUUGUAAAGUACUUUCGGCGAGGAGGCGUUACUCGCAGAAGAAGCGCCGGCUAACUCCGUGCCAGCAGCCGCGGUAAUAC